CGAAGCGUGCGAUUGGAUUGCACGUCUAAGCAGUAAGGCUGAGUAUUAGGCAAAUCCGGUACUCAUUAAGGCUGAGCUGUGAUGGGGAGAAGACAUUGUGUCUUCGAGUCGUUGAUUUCACACUGCCGAGAAAAGCCUCUAGAUAGAAAAUAGGUGCCCGUACCGCAAACCGACACAGGUAGUCAAGAUGAGAAUUCUAAGGUGAGCGAGCGAACUCUCGUUAAGGAACUCGGCAAAAUGACCCCGUAACUUCGGGAGAAGGGGUGCUCUUUAGGGUUAACGCCCAGAAGAGCCGCAGUGAAUAGGCCCAAGCGACUGUUUAUCAAAAACACAGGUCUCUGCUAAACCGUAAGGUGAUGUAUAGGGGCUGACGCCUGCCCGGUGCUGGAAGGUUAAGAGGAGUGGUUAGCUUCUGCGAAGCUACGAAUCGAAGCCCCAGUAAACGGCGGCCGUAACUAUAACGGUCCUAAGGUAGCGAAAUUCCUUGUCGGGUAAGUUCCGACCCGCACGAAAGGCGUAACGAUUUGGGCACUGUCUCAACGAGAGACUCGGUGAAAUCAUAGUACCUGUGAAGAUGCAGGUUACCCGCGACAGGACGGAAAGACCCCGUGGAGCUUUACUGUAGCCUGAUAUUGAAAUUCGGCACAGCUUGUACAGGAUAGGUAGGAGCCUUUGAAACGUGAGCGCUAGCUUACGUGGAGGCGCUGGUGGGAUACUACCCUAGCUGUGUUGGCUUUCUAACCCGCACCACUUAUCGUGGUGGGAGACAGUGUCAGGCGGGCAGUUUGACUGGGGCGGUCGCCUCCUAAAAGGUAACGGAGGCGCUCAAAGGUUCCCUCAGAAUGGUUGGAAAUCAUUCAUAGAGUGUAAAGGCAUAAGGGAGCUUGACUGCGAGACCUACAAGUCGAGCAGGGUCGAAAGACGGACUUAGUGAUCCGGUGGUUCCGCAUGGAAGGGCCAUCGCUCAACGGAUAAAAGCUACCCCGGGGAUAACAGGCUUAUCUCCCCCAAGAGUUCACAUCGACGGGGAGGUUUGGCACCUCGAUGUCGGCUCAUCGCAUCCUGGGGCUGUAGUCGGUCCCAAGGGUUGGGCUGUUCGCCCAUUAAAGCGGUACGCGAGCUGGGUUCAGAACGUCGUGAGACAGUUCGGUCCCUAUCCGUCGUGGGCGUAGGAAAUUUGAGAGGAGCUGUCCUUAGUACGAGAGGACCGGGAUGGACAUACCUCUGGUGUACCAGUUGUCGUGCCAACGGCAUAGCUGGGUAGCUAUGUGUGGACGGGAUAAGUGCUGAAAGCAUCUAAGCAUGAAGCCCCCCUCAAGAUGAGAUUUCCCAACUUCGGUUAUAAGAUCCCUCAAAGAUGAUGAGGUUAAUAGGUUCGAGGUGGAAGCAUGGUGACAUGUGGAGCUGACGAAUACUAAUCGAUCGAAGACUUAAUCAA
Molecule: ribosomal RNA, 1438 nt
Filed under: Staphylococcus aureus
Lineage: Bacteria; Bacillati; Bacillota; Bacilli; Caryophanales; Staphylococcaceae
Description: partial 23S ribosomal RNA
Rfam family: Bacterial large subunit ribosomal RNA
Source: RNAcentral